GACGAACGCUGGCGGCGUGCUUAACACAUGCAAGUCGAGCGGUAAGGCCCUUUCGGGGUACGACGAGCGGCGAACGGGUGAGUAACACGUGGGUGACCUGCCUCUAGCUCUGGGAUAAGCCCGGGAAACUGGUCUAAUACUGGAUAUGACUCCAUGACGCAUGUUGUGGGGUGGAAAGCCUUGUGCGGCUAGAGAUGGGCCCGCGG
Molecule: ribosomal RNA, 206 nt
Filed under: uncultured bacterium
Lineage: Bacteria
Description: partial 16S ribosomal RNA
Rfam family: Bacterial small subunit ribosomal RNA
Source: RNAcentral